This is a non-coding RNA of Onthophagus taurus, 581 nucleotides long. NCBI's taxonomy places the organism in Eukaryota, Metazoa, Arthropoda, Insecta, Coleoptera, Scarabaeidae. The record is from RefSeq and is a predicted model, not a curated record.
UAAAUAAAGGAUAACCUAAAACAAGCAAAAAUAAUUUGUUAGGUUAUCGAUGUGGACAUCUACAGGGAGUUUUACACAAAGCUAGAUUAUCUUUGUGGACUUUCCGUAAUCUUUGUGGAAAAAAAUUGUGGAUUGAAAGAAAUUGCAAAUUCGGCUCUAGAAUCAAUUUGGUACGAAAUCUGUUGAGUUGUGUUUCGAAUUCACCUAGUUACACAAUUUAUAGAGCUUAUUAUGGUAAACUUUUUACUACUCGAGAUCUUAUUGCUAAUUUGUAUAAUAUCAUAAAUCUAUUUCCAUUAGAUAGACUAGAUCAUUGUGUUGCUUAAAUAUAUUUCUAUUCAGUGCUAGCACUGGAUUCAUCAAUUGAACUGUGAUCAGAAGUAACAGAACUAACAUUAAACCUAGAACUAGAAUCAUUUGGAUUUAGCCGCACGUCAUAAUGAUCUAUAUAAGAUCUUUGUUGGUCGGCCUACCAACCAACUUUGCUGGUUAUCGAUUGAUUUUGGUACCUAGGAACAUACUUGACUGAUUUCAUGGAUAUUUAUAACAGAAAUGUCAAAUAAAAUUUAAUCCAAAUUUAA